GCUAGUCGAGCGCUUCCUAGCCAAUUUGGGAGCGCGGCACACAGCUCAGUAACACGUGGCUAACCUGCCCUUGGGACCAAAAUACCCCCGGGAAACUGGGGCUAAUUCUCGAUAGGUGAAGAACUCUGGAAUGAGUCUUCGCUUAAAAGAGGCUGGGGUUAUGCUCUCCGGUUUCGCCCAAGGAUGGGGCCGCGACCGAUCAGGUUGUUGGUGAGGUAAUGGCUCACCAAGCCUUUUACCGGUGCGGGCCGUGAGAGCGGGAGCCCGGAGAUGGGCACUGAGACAAGGGCCCAGGCCCUACGGGGCGCAGCAGUCGCGAAAACUUUGCAAUAAGCGAAAGCUUGACAGGGCUAUCCCGAGUGCCAUCCGCUGAGGAAGGCUUUUACCCAGUCUAGAACGCUGGGGGAAUAAGGAGAGGGCAAGUCUGGUGUCAGCCGCCGCGGUAAUACCAGCUCUCCGAGUGGUGUGGAUGUUUAUUGGGCCUAAAGCAUCCGUAGCUGGCUAGGUUAGUCCCCUGUUAAAUCCACCGAAUUAAUCGUUGGAUUGCGGGGGAUACUGCUUGUCUAUGGGACGAGAGAGGCAAACUGUAUUUCCGGGGAAAGGUCGAAAUCCUAUAAUCCCGGAAAUACCACCAUCGACAAAGGCUGUCUGCUAGAACGCGCCCGACAGGGACGGAUAAAAUCUGUGGAGAGCGAACCGGAUUAGAUACCCGGGUAGUCCCAGCUGUAAACGAUGCAGACUA
This 742-nucleotide ribosomal RNA is filed under the name uncultured archaeon. RNAcentral describes it as "bacterial SSU rRNA". It matches the Rfam family "Archaeal small subunit ribosomal RNA", at positions 53 to 769 of the family's 1478-position model. The record is from RNAcentral.